This 62-nucleotide transfer RNA is filed under the name Gesiella jameensis. RNAcentral describes it as "tRNA-Tyr". The record is from RNAcentral. Lineage: Eukaryota; Metazoa; Annelida; Polychaeta; Phyllodocida; Polynoidae.
AACAAAAUGGCUGAGUUAUAGCAGAAAAUUGUAAAUUUUCCAACGAAUAAAUUCUUUUGUUA